This is a transfer RNA of 72 nucleotides. It matches the Rfam family "tRNA". Rfam says of the family: Transfer RNA (tRNA) molecules are approximately 80 nucleotides in length. Their secondary structure includes four short double-helical elements and three loops (D, anti-codon, and T loops).
GCGGAGAUAGCUCAGGGGUAGAGCAGAAGACUGAAAAUCUUUGUGUCGCUGGUUCAAAUCCAGCUCUUGGCA